This 254-nucleotide ribosomal RNA is filed under the name uncultured bacterium. Its description in RNAcentral is "partial 16S ribosomal RNA". It matches the Rfam family "Bacterial small subunit ribosomal RNA", at positions 524 to 776 of the family's 1533-position model. The record is from RNAcentral.
UACGUAGGGUGCGAGCGUUGUCCGGAAUUAUUGGGCGUAAAGAGCUCGUAGGCGGUGUGUCACGUCGGCCGUGAAAACCUGCAGCUUAACUGUGGGCGUGCGGUCGAUACGGGCAUCACUGGAGUUCGGCAGGGGAGACUGGAAUUCCUGGUGUAGCGGUGAAAUGCGCAGAUAUCAGGAGGAACACCUGCGGCGAAGGCGGGUUGCUGGGCUGACACUGACGCUGAGGCGCGAAAGCUAGGGGAGCGAACGGG